RNAcentral lists this unclassified non-coding RNA (345 nucleotides) under soil metagenome. Its description in RNAcentral is "partial contains 5.8S ribosomal RNA, internal transcribed spacer 2, and large subunit ribosomal RNA". The stretch from base 1 to 120 matches the Rfam family "5.8S ribosomal RNA", at positions 35 to 154 of the family's 154-position model. The record is from RNAcentral.
GAUGAAGAACGUAGCGAAAUGCGAUACGUAAUGUGAAUUGCAGAAUUCAGUGAAUCAUCGAGUCUUUGAACGCACAUUGCGCCCCCUGGUAUUCCGGGGGGCAUGCCUGUCCGAGCGUCAUUGCUGCCCUCAAGCACGGCUUGUGUGUUGGGCCUCGGUCCUCCUCCCGGGGGACGGGCCCGAAAGGCAGCGGCGGCACCGCGUCCGGUCCUCGAGCGUAUGGGGCUUCGUCACCCGCUCUUGUAGGCCCGGCCGGCGCUUGCCGACACAUCAAUCUUUUUUCCAGGUUGACCUCGGAUCAGGUAGGGAUACCCGCUGAACUUAAGCAUAUCAAUAAGCGGAGGA